UAGUUCAGUGGUACAAUGUCUGCCUGGGAAGCACAAGGUCCUGAGUUCGAUUCCCAG
This 57-nucleotide transfer RNA is filed under the name Heterocephalus glaber (naked mole-rat). It matches the Rfam family "tRNA", at positions 8 to 63 of the family's 71-position model. Rfam says of the family: Transfer RNA (tRNA) molecules are approximately 80 nucleotides in length. Lineage: Eukaryota; Metazoa; Chordata; Mammalia; Rodentia; Bathyergidae. The record is from Rfam by way of RNAcentral.